This 142-nucleotide microRNA precursor is filed under the name Paramuricea clavata. The record is from RNAcentral. Lineage: Eukaryota; Metazoa; Cnidaria; Anthozoa; Malacalcyonacea; Plexauridae.
GUGUACGAGAACGUAGACUGCGAGCAAUCCCUCUAUUUUCCUUCGUUUUAUUGUUUCCCGGACUAAGACUGAACGCGCGGGAGUCCGGGAAACAAUAAAACGAAGGGAAAUAGAGGGAUUGCUCGCAGUCUAACGAGAACGU